This 782-nucleotide ribosomal RNA is filed under the name uncultured bacterium. Its description in RNAcentral is "bacterial SSU rRNA". It matches the Rfam family "Bacterial small subunit ribosomal RNA", at positions 102 to 916 of the family's 1533-position model. The record is from RNAcentral.
ACGGGUGAGUAAAGCACAAGGACUUGUCCGAAAGAGAGGGACACCUGCGGGAAACCGGAGCUAAUACCUCAUAAGCCGGAAGGUGAAAAGCAGAGAUGCGCUUUUGGAGAGACUUGUGUCCUAUCAGGCAGUUGGUGAGGUGAAAGCUCACCAAACCGAAGACGGGUAGCCGGACUGAGAGGUCGACCGGCCACAUUGGAACUGAGAGACGGUCCAGACUCCUACGGGAGGCAGCAGUGGGGAAUAUUGGGCAAUGGGCGGAAGCCUGACCCAGCGACGCCGCGUGAGGGAAGACAGCCUUCGGGUUGUAAACCUCUGUUGCAGGGGAAGAAGGAAGUGACGGUACCCUGCGAGGAAGCUCCGGCUAACUACGUGCCAGCAGCCGCGGUAAUACGUAGGGAGCGAGCGUUGUCCGGAAUUACUGGGCGUAAAGGGCGCGUAGGCGGCGCUUCAAGUCGUCUGUCAAAUGGAAGGGCUUAACCCUUUUUCGCAGACGAAACUGGAGAGCUUGAGAAGCAGAGAGGCAAACAGAAUUCCUGGUGUAGCGGUGAAAUGCGUAGAUAUCAGGAAGAAUACCAGUGGCGAAGGCGGUUUGCUGGCUGCAUACUGACGCUGAAGCGCGAAAGCCAGGGGAGCGAACGGGAUUAGAUACCCCGGUAGUCCUGGCAGUAAACGAUGUAUGCUGGGUGUGAGACUAGCGAUAGUUUCGUGCCGAAGUUAACGCGAUAAGCAUACCGCCUGGGGAGUACGGUCGCAAGAUUGAAACUCAAAGGAAUUGACGG